GAUGAAGAACGCAGCGAAAUGCGAUAAGUAGUGUGAAUUGCAGAAUUCAGUGAAUCAUCGAAUCUUUGAACGCACAUUGCGCCCCUUGGUAUCCCGAGGGGCAUGCCUGUUCGAGCGUCAUUUCACCACUCAAGCCUGGCUUGGUGUUGGGCGACGUCCUCUUUGGGGACGCGCCUCGAAACGCUCGGCGGCGUGGCACCGGCUUUAAGCGUAGCAGAAUCUUUCGCUUUGGAAGUCGGGGCCCCGUCUGCCGGAAGACCUGCUCGCAAGGUUGACCUCGGAUCAGGCAGGUAUACCCGCUGAACUUAAGCAUAUCAAUAAGCGGAGGA
RNAcentral lists this unclassified non-coding RNA (329 nucleotides) under soil metagenome. RNAcentral describes it as "partial contains 5.8S ribosomal RNA, internal transcribed spacer 2, and large subunit ribosomal RNA". The stretch from base 1 to 120 matches the Rfam family "5.8S ribosomal RNA", at positions 35 to 154 of the family's 154-position model. The record is from RNAcentral.